RNAcentral lists this ribosomal RNA (256 nucleotides) under uncultured bacterium. Its description in RNAcentral is "partial 16S ribosomal RNA". It matches the Rfam family "Bacterial small subunit ribosomal RNA", at positions 102 to 353 of the family's 1533-position model. The record is from RNAcentral.
ACGGGUGAGUAACGCGUGAGUAACCUGCCUUUCAGAGGGGGAGUAACGUUCUGAAAAGAACGCUAAUACCGCAUGAGACUACAGAGCUGCAUGGCUCAGUGGUCAAAGGAGCAAUCCGCUGAAAGAUGGACUCGCGUCCGAUUAGAUAGUAGGCGGGGUAACGGCCCACCUAGUCGACGAUCGGUAGCCGGACUGAGAGGUUGAACGGCCACAUUGGGACUGAGACACGGCCCAGACUCCUACGGGAGGCAGCAUG